Hydra vulgaris (swiftwater hydra) is the source of this 550-nucleotide non-coding RNA. The record is from RefSeq and is a predicted model, not a curated record. Lineage: Eukaryota; Metazoa; Cnidaria; Hydrozoa; Anthoathecata; Hydridae.
UACACACUUUCAUUACCCAUAUCGCUGCAAUUAUUUAUUUAACAUUCAAGUGUUUCUAUAAUGUUACUUAUUCAGUGCUUAAUAAGUAACGUUAUACAUUGUAUAAAGUUAUCGUUUAUUUUUCUGUAAUCCUUUAUUUAUUUUAUAAAAGUAUGUGUUUGUGUAAUACAAACAUACUUUUAUAAAAUAAAGGAAUACAGAAAGAAACAUUAUGCAAAAACAUUUUCCAAACAUUUUUGUUCAUCAGAUCUACCAGUUUUCAAUUUUACUCAUGGACUCUUGGAGGAUGCUCAAGAAUCAACCUAUAAGUUAAUAAGCAAUAAGCGUUUAAGUUUUUCUUGAAAGUUCAUGGAAAUUAUUUUUAGAAGAUGAUGACAACCAAAGAUCUUAGAUUUCGUUUCUAAAACAAUCAAUAUCAAAAAAUGAUACAGUUAUUUACCAGAAGCUGUCGCUCUGGUGAUUUCAAUGGCAGAAAAUUACGAAGAAUCAAAUGUGGAAGACGAGAAAAAAGACUUCAAAGAUGAUAAAAUUUAUUGAAGAUGAAAAAUAA